UGGGGAAUAUUGCACAAUGGGCGAAAGCCUGAUGCAGCGACGCCGCGUGAGGGAUGACGGCCUUCGGGUUGUAAACCUCUUUCAGCAGGGAAGAAGCGAAAGUGACGGUACCUGCAGAAGAAGCACCGGCUAACUACGUGCCAGCAGCCGCGGUAAUACGUAGGGUGCGAGCGUUGUCCGGAAUUAUUGGGCGUAAAGAGCUUGUAGGCGGUUUGUCGCGUCUGCCGUGAAAAUCCGAGGCUCAACCUCGGACUUGCGGUGGGUACGGGCAGACUAGAGUGUGGUAGGGGAGACUGGAAUUCCUGGUGUAGCGGUGAAAUGCGCAGAUAUCAGGAGGAACACCGAUGGCGAAGGCAGGUCUCUGGGCCACUACUGACGCUGAGAAGCGAAAGCAUGGGGAGCGAACA
RNAcentral lists this ribosomal RNA (407 nucleotides) under uncultured Pediococcus sp. RNAcentral's name for it is "bacterial SSU rRNA". It matches the Rfam family "Bacterial small subunit ribosomal RNA", at positions 355 to 774 of the family's 1533-position model. Lineage: Bacteria; Bacillati; Bacillota; Bacilli; Lactobacillales; Lactobacillaceae. RNAcentral also lists the same sequence under 3 other names. The record is from RNAcentral.